GAGGGUAUAGCUCAAGUGGUAGAGCACAUGCUCAGCAUGCACAAGGUCCUGGGUUCAAUCCCCAGUACCUCCU
Molecule: transfer RNA, 73 nt
Organism: Camelus ferus (Wild Bactrian camel)
Lineage: Eukaryota; Metazoa; Chordata; Mammalia; Artiodactyla; Camelidae
Rfam family: tRNA
About the family: Transfer RNA (tRNA) molecules are approximately 80 nucleotides in length. Their secondary structure includes four short double-helical elements and three loops (D, anti-codon, and T loops).
Source: Rfam